Aptenodytes forsteri (emperor penguin) is the source of this 798-nucleotide long non-coding RNA. RefSeq lists it as uncharacterized. The transcript is spliced from 2 exons. The record is from RefSeq and is a predicted model, not a curated record. Lineage: Eukaryota; Metazoa; Chordata; Aves; Sphenisciformes; Spheniscidae.
CUGAGAAGUAACACGGGCAGCUUCAACUUCCCUGACCUCAGCUAAUUCUUUCCUUCCCUCAGCCUACUCAAGAUGAUUAAGCAAAAUACUUGGAAGGAAAUCAAAGCCUUGGAAACGCAAUUAGAAGUGACCAUUUUGUUAAUACACGCGCACACAACCCCAAAGUCAAACCCAAUCCACCAACAGCACCAGACCUUCCUCAGGCUGCAGCACGCCCGCGGGAAGAAAAUCAGUUCCCAGCAGCUCCCACGGGCUUAACGAACAGCCCAAUGCAAAACUCAAGAGGACAACGUCUCCCCCGACGCUGGCGGGAGCAAUGCCUUCCAUACGGCUCGGGUUUUUCCCACCGUUCCUAAAAAAGGAGGUUAGGAAGACCUGAAAUUGCCAAACCUCACACCAGAUACUGGCUCCCGCUCCUGCAGACCUGCAGCUGUCCACAGGACCCCUUUCCUUGCAUCCAUCCCCAACACGAUGCAUUUUUAAGAUUCCCAACCUGAAAUUAAUUUGGAAAAAGAUGGAAAUCUUUCUCUGCAGAGGCAAAGAAAUCAAAUGCACUUUGAAAAGCAGCAGCAGCAGUUAAGCUUCUGGACCCUGCUACAGAAACAAAGACUGACAGACCAGAUUUAGAUAAACACCUACUUCUGCAAAUUUAGGAAGAGGUUUAAUUGCUUCGUCAUUUAGAGCCAGCAACUACCAACUACUAUUGGGAGUACUGCGGGGGAUAGGGGGGGUUAUUAAUUGCAGCAAAAUGUCCACUCUUUUUUGGGCAGCUCAUGUGAAGAAAAACUACGUAUAAAA